This is a long non-coding RNA of Panicum virgatum (switchgrass), 281 nucleotides long. RefSeq lists it as uncharacterized. The record is from RefSeq and is a predicted model, not a curated record. Lineage: Eukaryota; Viridiplantae; Streptophyta; Magnoliopsida; Poales; Poaceae. The transcript has 2 exons.
UAUUGUGGCCACUCUUGCAUCAAGAAUGGUCUGGCCACACAAUGAGGCAGUGGCUAAUGCUACACACAAGAAAGGGAAGAGAAAAUCAUCUUCAUCAUCAUCAGGUGCCAAGAAAAGGAAGAAGACAACAACCAGUACUUCAACAAGUACUGCUAGCAGAUCUGGAACUGGAUCUAAUGAUCAUGUGCCUCUCCAAGUUCUGCCUCCUGUUCUGCCUGCUGCCUCAGCACACACAGCGCUCACACCAAUGAAGAAAUGUGGUGUCACGAAGAAGCUAACAC